This 68-nucleotide transfer RNA is filed under the name bovine gut metagenome. It matches the Rfam family "tRNA", at positions 6 to 65 of the family's 71-position model. From Rfam's summary of the family: Transfer RNA (tRNA) molecules are approximately 80 nucleotides in length. Their secondary structure includes four short double-helical elements and three loops (D, anti-codon, and T loops). The record is from RNAcentral.
UUCAUAGCUCAGAUGGCAGAGCGUCCGGCUGUUAACCGGAAGGCCGCAGGUUCGAUCCCUGCUGUUCC